ACGGAAGGCAGCAGUGGGGAAUAUUGGGCAAUGGGCGCAAGCCUGACCCAGCGACGCCGCGUGAGGGAAGACGGUCUUCGGAUUGUAAACCUUUGUUGACAGGGGCGAAGAAGAUGACGGUACCUGUCGAGGAAGCCACGGCUAACUACGUGCCAGCAGCCGCGGUAAUACGUAGGUGGCGAGCGUUAUCCGGAUUUACUGGGUGUAAAGGGUGUGUAGGCGGGAAAGCAAGUCGGAUGUGAAAAUUAUGGGCUUAACUCAUAACCUGCGUCCGAAACUACAAUUCUUGAGAGUCGGAGGGGUAAAUGGAAUUCCUGGUGUAGCGGUGAAAUGCGUAGAUAUCAGGAGGAACACCGGUGGCGAAGGCGGCUUACUGGCCUGUAACUGACACUGAGGCACGAAAGUGUGGGGAGCAAACAGGAUUAGAUACCCUGGUA
RNAcentral lists this ribosomal RNA (437 nucleotides) under uncultured Oscillospiraceae bacterium. RNAcentral's name for it is "bacterial SSU rRNA". It matches the Rfam family "Bacterial small subunit ribosomal RNA", at positions 341 to 792 of the family's 1533-position model. The record is from RNAcentral. Lineage: Bacteria; Bacillati; Bacillota; Clostridia; Eubacteriales; Oscillospiraceae.